GAUGAACGCUGGCGGCGUGCUUAACACAUGCAAGUCGAACGGUGAAGAAGAGCUUGCUCUUCGGAUCAGUGGCGAACGGGUGAGUAACACGUGAGCAAUCUGCCCCUGACUCUGGGAUAACAGCUGGAAACAGCUGCUAAUACCGGAUACGAGCUGCGAAGGCAUCUUCAGCAGCUGGAAAGAACUUCGGUCAGGGAUGAGCUCGCGGCCUAUCAGCUUGUUGGUGAGGUAACGGCUCACCAAGGCGUCGACGGGUAGCCGGCCUGAGAGGGUGACCGGCCACACUGGGACUGAGACACGGCCCAGACUCCUACGGGAGGCAGCAGUGGGGAAUAUUGCACAAUGGGCGCAAGCCUGAUGCAGCAACGCCGCGUGAGGGACGACGGCCUUCGGGUUGUAAACCUCUUUUAGCAGGGAAGAAGCGAAAGUGACGGUACCUGCAGAAAAAGCGCCGGCUAACUACGUGCCAGCAGCCGCUGUAA
RNAcentral lists this ribosomal RNA (482 nucleotides) under uncultured bacterium. RNAcentral describes it as "partial 16S ribosomal RNA". It matches the Rfam family "Bacterial small subunit ribosomal RNA", at positions 28 to 523 of the family's 1533-position model. The record is from RNAcentral.